GGCCCGGUAGCUCAACUGGAUAGAGUCCCUUUCUCGCAAAUCGGUGGUUGGGGGUUCGAAUCCCCCCUGGGCCC
This 74-nucleotide transfer RNA is filed under the name Luteibacter sp. 1214. RNAcentral's name for it is "tRNA-Ala". It matches the Rfam family "tRNA". Rfam says of the family: Transfer RNA (tRNA) molecules are approximately 80 nucleotides in length. Their secondary structure includes four short double-helical elements and three loops (D, anti-codon, and T loops). The record is from RNAcentral. Lineage: Bacteria; Pseudomonadati; Pseudomonadota; Gammaproteobacteria; Lysobacterales; Rhodanobacteraceae.